GUAACAAGGUCUCCGUUGGUGAACCAGCGGAGGGAUCAUUACCGAGUUUACAACUCCCAAACCCAAUGUGAACGUUACCAAACUGUUGCCUCGGCGGGAUCUCUGCCCCGGGUGCGUCGCAGCCCCGGACCAAGGCGCCCGCCGGAGGACCAACCAAAACUCUUUUUGUAUACCCCCUCGCGGGUUUUUUAUAAUCUGAGCCUUCUCGGCGCCUCUCGUAGGCGUUUCGAAAAUGAAUCAAAACUUUCAACAACGGAUCUCUUGGUUCUGGCAUCGAUGAAGAACGCAGCGAAAUGCGAUAAGUAAUGUGAAUUGCAGAAUUCAGUGAAUCAUCGAAUCUUUGAACGCACAUUGCGCCCGCCAGUAUUCUGGCGGGCAUGCCUGUCCGAGCGUCAUUUCAACCCUCGAACCCCUCCGGGGGGUCGGCGUUGGGGAUCGGCCCUCCCUUAGCGGGUGGCCGUCUCCGAAAUACAGUGGCGGUCUCGCCGCAGCCUCUCCUGCGCAGUAGUUUGCACACUCGCAUCGGGAGCGCGGCGCGUCCACAGCCGUUAAACACCCAACUUCUGAAAUGUUGACCUCGGAUCAGGUAGGAAUACCCGCUGAACUUAAGCAUAUCA
This 617-nucleotide ribosomal RNA is filed under the name Trichoderma sp. 2 AE-2013. RNAcentral describes it as "eukaryotic LSU rRNA". The stretch from base 242 to 395 matches the Rfam family "5.8S ribosomal RNA". The record is from RNAcentral. Lineage: Eukaryota; Fungi; Ascomycota; Sordariomycetes; Hypocreales; Hypocreaceae.